UACGGGGGGGGCAAGCGUUGUUCGGAAUUACUGGGCGUAAAGGGCUCGUAGGCGGCCGACUAAGUCAGACGUGAAAUCCCCCGGCUUAACCGGGGAACUGCGUCUGAUACUGGACGGCUUGAAUUCGGGAGAGGGAUGCGGAAUUCCAGGUGUAGCGGUGAAAUGCGUAGAUAUCUGGAGGAACACCGGUGGCGAAGGCGGCAUCCUGGACCGACAAUGACGCUGAGGAGCGAAAGCCAGAGGAGCAAACGGG
This 253-nucleotide ribosomal RNA is filed under the name uncultured bacterium. Its description in RNAcentral is "partial 16S ribosomal RNA". It matches the Rfam family "Bacterial small subunit ribosomal RNA", at positions 524 to 776 of the family's 1533-position model. The record is from RNAcentral.